RNAcentral lists this ribosomal RNA (225 nucleotides) under uncultured bacterium. RNAcentral's name for it is "partial 16S ribosomal RNA". It matches the Rfam family "Bacterial small subunit ribosomal RNA", at positions 109 to 334 of the family's 1533-position model. The record is from RNAcentral.
AGUAACGCGUGGGUAACCUGCCUCAUACAGGGGGAUAACGAUUGGAAACGAUUGCUAAUACCGCAUAAGCGCACAGUACCACAUGGUACAGUGUGAAAAACUCCGGUGGUAUGAGAUGGACCCGCGUCUGAUUAGCUAGUUGGUGAGGUAACGGCCCACCAAGGCAACGAUCAGUAGCCGACCUGAGAGGGUGACCGGCCACAUUGGGACUGAGACACGGCCCAG